UUAUACAGCGAAACUGCGAAUGGCUCAUUAUAUAAGUUAUCGUUUAUUUGAUAAUACUUUACUACUUGGAUAACCGUGGUAAUUCUAGAGCUAAUACAUGCUAAAAAUCCCGACUCACGAAGGGUUGUAUUUAUUAGAUUAAAAACCAAUGCCCUCUGGGCUCUCUGGUGAAUCAUGAUAACUGGUCGAAUCGACAGGCCUUGUGCCGGCGAUGGCUCAUUCAAAUUUCUUCCCUAUCAACUUUCGAUGUUUGGGUAUUGGCCAAACAUGGUGGCAACGGGUAACGGAGGGUUAGGGCUCGACCCCGGAGAAGGAGCCUGAGAAACGGCUACUACAUCCAAGGAAGGCAGCAGGCGCGCAAAUUACCCAAUCCCGACUCGGGGAGGUAGUGACAAUAAAUACUGAUACAGGGCUCUUUUGGGUCUUGUAAUCGGAAUGAGUACAAUUUAAAUCCCUUAACGAGGAACAAUUGGAGGGCAAGUCUGGUGCCAGCAGCCGCGGUAAUUCCAGCUCCAAUAGCGUAUAUUAAAGUUGUUGUGGUUAAAAAGCUCGUAGUUGAACCUUGGGCCUGGCUGGCCGGUCCGCCUCACCGCGUGUACUGGUCCGGCCGGGCCUUUCCCUCUGUGGAACCCCAUUCCCUUCACUGGGUGUGGCGGGGAAACAGGACUUUUACUUUGAAAAAAUUAGAGUGCUCAAGGCAGGCCUAUGCUCGAAUACAUUAGCAUGGAAUAAUAAAAUAGGACGUGUGGUUCUAUUUUGUUGGUUUCUAGGACCGCCGUAAUGAUUAAUAGGGACAGUCGGGGGCAUCAGUAUUCAAUUGUCAGAGGUGAAAUUCUUGGAUUUAUUGAAGACUAACUACUGCGAAAGCAUUUGCCAAGGAUGUUUUCAUUAAUCAGGAACGAAAGUUAGGGGAUCGAAGACGAUCAGAUACCGUCGUAGUCUUAACCAUAAACUAUGCCGACUAGGGAUCGGACGAUGUUAUUUUUUGACGCGUUCGGCACCUUACGAGAAAUCAAAGUGCUUGGCUC
Molecule: ribosomal RNA, 1028 nt
Filed under: [Paecilomyces] niphetodes
Lineage: Eukaryota; Fungi; Ascomycota; Sordariomycetes; Hypocreales; Clavicipitaceae
Description: SSU rRNA
Rfam family: Eukaryotic small subunit ribosomal RNA
Source: RNAcentral